AUGUGUGUCGACUUCACCAAUCUCAACAAAGCAUGCCCGCAAGAUCCGUUCCCGCUCCCCCGCAUCGACCAGAUCGUCGAUUCCACUGCGGAAUGCGACCUGUUAUGCUUUUUGGAUGCCUUCUCUGGGUAUCACCAGAUCAAGAUGGCGGUAGAAGACGUCGAGAAGGCAGCCUUCCUAACCCCGUGUGGGGUGUACUGCUACACAUGCAUGCCAUUUGGGCUGCGUAACGCAGGGGCGACCUUCCAGCGGCUGAUGCACAUCACCUUGGGCCCGCAGCUCGGGAAGAAUGUUGAAGCUUACGUCGAUGACAUUGUGGUAAAGUCUCAGGAGGCCGGGACCUUGAUCCAAGACUUGGAGGAAACCUUCGCGAGCCUCAAUGCAGUGAACCUACGUCUCAACCCAGAGAAGUGUGUGUUCGGAGUCCCCUCGGGCAAGCUCUUGGGUUUCCUCGUGUCCCACCGAGGCAUCGAGGCUAACCCAGAGAAGGUCAAGACGGCGGAAGACAUGAGCCCGCCAAAGACCCUUAGAGAAAUGCAGAAGCUCACGGGGCGCGUGACCGCGCUAGGGCGCUUCAUAUCCAAGUUGGGGGAACGAGCACUGCCCUUCUUCCAGCUAAUGAUGAAAAAGGGGCCGACAAGGCGUUCCAGGAUCUCAAGAGAUACCUGA
RNAcentral lists this ribosomal RNA (669 nucleotides) under Triticum aestivum (bread wheat). RNAcentral's name for it is "partial small subunit ribosomal RNA". The record is from RNAcentral. Lineage: Eukaryota; Viridiplantae; Streptophyta; Magnoliopsida; Poales; Poaceae.